This 251-nucleotide long non-coding RNA is filed under the name Cavia porcellus (domestic guinea pig). RNAcentral describes it as "lncRNA (ENSCPOG00000040496.1)". Lineage: Eukaryota; Metazoa; Chordata; Mammalia; Rodentia; Caviidae. The record is from RNAcentral.
AAUCACUUGUGUCCUAAGGAGGAGGGGAAAUGCCCCACAGAAGAUUGCCUUGGCCUCUGUGUGACACUGCUGUCUCCGGGAAUCACAAGCCACACUGCAGGAAGUAGGAAAAGGAGACCUGUUUUCUCCAUGCUUGCCUGGCCUUUGCCCAUCUUCCCCAAAGCCUGCUGUGCCCUCCUCUGCUUGUUCGCUAGGCUAAGCCCUUGUGUGGCCAGCUUUCCAUUGCUCCUCAGCUUUUAGGCCUAUAGUGA